Molecule: transfer RNA, 72 nt
Filed under: Loxodonta africana (African savanna elephant)
Lineage: Eukaryota; Metazoa; Chordata; Mammalia; Proboscidea; Elephantidae
Rfam family: tRNA
About the family: Transfer RNA (tRNA) molecules are approximately 80 nucleotides in length. Their secondary structure includes four short double-helical elements and three loops (D, anti-codon, and T loops).
Source: Rfam by way of RNAcentral
GCUCUGGGGGCGCAAAGGUUAAGCGCUCGGCUGCUGACUGAAAGGCUGGUGGUUCAAAUCCAUCCGAUGGCU